RNAcentral lists this ribosomal RNA (2897 nucleotides) under Escherichia coli. RNAcentral describes it as "23S ribosomal RNA". It matches the Rfam family "Bacterial large subunit ribosomal RNA". The record is from RNAcentral. Lineage: Bacteria; Pseudomonadati; Pseudomonadota; Gammaproteobacteria; Enterobacterales; Enterobacteriaceae.
UUAAGCGACUAAGCGUACACGGUGGAUGCCCUGGCAGUCAGAGGCGAUGAAGGACGUGCUAAUCUGCGAUAAGCGUCGGUAAGGUGAUAUGAACCGUUAUAACCGGCGAUUUCCGAAUGGGAAACCCAGUGUGUUUCGACACACUAUCAUUAACUGAAUCCAUAGGUUAAUGAGGCGAACCGGGGGAACUGAAACAUCUAAGUACCCCGAGGAAAAGAAAUCAACCGAGAUUCCCCCAGUAGCGGCGAGCGAACGGGGAGGAGCCCAGAGCCUGAAUCAGUGUGUGUGUUAGUGGAAGCGUCUGGAAAGGCGCGCGAUACAGGGUGACAGCCCCGUACACAAAAAUGCACAUGCUGUGAGCUCGAUGAGUAGGGCGGGACACGUGGUAUCCUGUCUGAAUAUGGGGGGACCAUCCUCCAAGGCUAAAUACUCCUGACUGACCGAUAGUGAACCAGUACCGUGAGGGAAAGGCGAAAAGAACCCCGGCGAGGGGAGUGAAAAAGAACCUGAAACCGUGUACGUACAAGCAGUGGGAGCACGCUUAGGCGUGUGACUGCGUACCUUUUGUAUAAUGGGUCAGCGACUUAUAUUCUGUAGCAAGGUUAACCGAAUAGGGGAGCCGAAGGGAAACCGAGUCUUAACUGGGCGUUAAGUUGCAGGGUAUAGACCCGAAACCCGGUGAUCUAGCCAUGGGCAGGUUGAAGGUUGGGUAACACUAACUGGAGGACCGAACCGACUAAUGUUGAAAAAUUAGCGGAUGACUUGUGGCUGGGGGUGAAAGGCCAAUCAAACCGGGAGAUAGCUGGUUCUCCCCGAAAGCUAUUUAGGUAGCGCCUCGUGAACUCAUCUCCGGGGGUAGAGCACUGUUUCGGCAAGGGGGUCAUCCCGACUUACCAACCCGAUGCAAACUGCGAAUACCGGAGAAUGUUAUCACGGGAGACACACGGCGGGUGCUAACGUCCGUCGUGAAGAGGGAAACAACCCAGACCGCCAGCUAAGGUCCCAAAGUCAUGGUUAAGUGGGAAACGAUGUGGGAAGGCCCAGACAGCCAGGAUGUUGGCUUAGAAGCAGCCAUCAUUUAAAGAAAGCGUAAUAGCUCACUGGUCGAGUCGGCCUGCGCGGAAGAUGUAACGGGGCUAAACCAUGCACCGAAGCUGCGGCAGCGACACUGUGUGUUGUUGGGUAGGGGAGCGUUCUGUAAGCCUGUGAAGGUGUACUGUGAGGUAUGCUGGAGGUAUCAGAAGUGCGAAUGCUGACAUAAGUAACGAUAAAGCGGGUGAAAAGCCCGCUCGCCGGAAGACCAAGGGUUCCUGUCCAACGUUAAUCGGGGCAGGGUGAGUCGACCCCUAAGGCGAGGCCGAAAGGCGUAGUCGAUGGGAAACAGGUUAAUAUUCCUGUACUUGGUGUUACUGCGAAGGGGGACGGAGAAGGCUAUGUUGGCCGGGCGACGGUUGUCCCGGUUUAAGCGUGUAGGCUGGUUUUCCAGGCAAAUCCGGAAAAUCAAGGCUGAGGCGUGAUGACGAGGCACUACGGUGCUGAAGCAACAAAUGCCCUGCUUCCAGGAAAAGCCUCUAAGCAUCAGGUAACAUCAAAUCGUACCCCAAACCGACACAGGUGGUCAGGUAGAGAAUACCAAGGCGCUUGAGAGAACUCGGGUGAAGGAACUAGGCAAAAUGGUGCCGUAACUUCGGGAGAAGGCACGCUGAUAUGUAGGUGAAGUCCCUUGCGGAUGGAGCUGAAAUCAGUCGAAGAUACCAGCUGGCUGCAACUGUUUAUUAAAAACACAGCACUGUGCAAACACGAAAGUGGACGUAUACGGUGUGACGCCUGCCCGGUGCCGGAAGGUUAAUUGAUGGGGUCAGCGCAAGCGAAGCUCUUGAUCGAAGCCCCGGUAAACGGCGGCCGUAACUAUAACGGUCCUAAGGUAGCGAAAUUCCUUGUCGGGUAAGUUCCGACCUGCACGAAUGGCGUAAUGAUGGCCAGGCUGUCUCCACCCGAGACUCAGUGAAAUUGAACUCGCUGUGAAGAUGCAGUGUACCCGCGGCAAGACGGAAAGACCCCGUGAACCUUUACUAUAGCUUGACACUGAACAUUGAGCCUUGAUGUGUAGGAUAGGUGGGAGGCUUUGAAGUGUGGACGCCAGUCUGCAUGGAGCCGACCUUGAAAUACCACCCUUUAAUGUUUGAUGUUCUAACGUGGACCCGUGAUCCGGGUUGCGGACAGUGUCUGGUGGGUAGUUUGACUGGGGCGGUCUCCUCCUAAAGAGUAACGGAGGAGCACGAAGGUUGGCUAAUCCUGGUCGGACAUCAGGAGGUUAGUGCAAUGGCAUAAGCCAGCUUGACUGCGAGCGUGACGGCGCGAGCAGGUGCGAAAGCAGGUCAUAGUGAUCCGGUGGUUCUGAAUGGAAGGGCCAUCGCUCAACGGAUAAAAGGUACUCCGGGGAUAACAGGCUGAUACCGCCCAAGAGUUCAUAUCGACGGCGGUGUUUGGCACCUCGAUGUCGGCUCAUCACAUCCUGGGGCUGAAGUAGGUCCCAAGGGUAUGGCUGUUCGCCAUUUAAAGUGGUACGCGAGCUGGGUUUAGAACGUCGUGAGACAGUUCGGUCCCUAUCUGCCGUGGGCGCUGGAGAACUGAGGGGGCUGCUCCUAGUACGAGAGGACCGGAGUGGACGCAUCACUGGUGUUCGGGUUGUCAUGCCAAUGGCACUGCCCGGUAGCUAAAUGCGGAAGAGAUAAGUGCUGAAAGCAUCUAAGCACGAAACUUGCCCCGAGAUGAGUUCUCCCUGACCCUUUAAGGGUCCUGAAGGAACGUUGAAGACGACGACGUUGAUAGGCCGGGUGUGUAAGCGCAGCGAUGCGUUGAGCUAACCGGUACUAAUGAACCGUGAGGCUUAACCU